This 216-nucleotide non-coding RNA is filed under the name Sporosarcina sp. RNAcentral describes it as "T-box sequence". It matches the Rfam family "T-box leader". Rfam says of the family: Uncharged tRNA acts as the effector for transcription antitermination of genes in the T-box leader family. Lineage: Bacteria; Bacillati; Bacillota; Bacilli; Caryophanales; Caryophanaceae. The record is from RNAcentral.
UAAAAAGCGUUGAGAAGGAAAGUACGUAGUGGAGACUCUCUAGAGAAGGUCAUCUUGGCUGGAAAUGACCCGAGCUGUUCACUAUCGAAAUGCACCUUUGAGCGAUGAGCCGAAACUGUUAGUAGGCCAUACGUAUCGUCUGCGUUAAAGACAUUAAGCGGGGAGAUUCCAUAUCUCCCAAGCGGAGUGGAACCACGCAAAUCAUGCGUCUCUGUC